RNAcentral lists this ribosomal RNA (253 nucleotides) under uncultured bacterium. RNAcentral's name for it is "partial 16S ribosomal RNA". It matches the Rfam family "Bacterial small subunit ribosomal RNA", at positions 524 to 776 of the family's 1533-position model. The record is from RNAcentral.
UACGUAGGGGGCAAGCGUUGUCCGGAAUCACUGGGCGUAAAGGGCGCGUAGGUGGCCGAGCAAGGUCGCGGUGAAAGCCCGGGGCUCAACCCCGGGUCGGCCGUGGCAACUACUGGGCUGGAGCACUGUAGGGGCGGGUGGAAUUCCGGGUGUAGCGGUGGAAUGCGUAGAGAUCCGGAAGAACACCGGUGGCGAAGGCGGCCCGCUGGGCAGUUGCUGACACUGAGGCGCGACAGCGUGGGGAGCAAACAGG